AACGGCCGUACCAUGCUGAAUAUACCGGUUCCUGUUAGAUCACCGAAGUCAAGCAUCAUUGGGCGCGGUCAGUACUUGGGUGGGUGACCACCUGGGAACACUGCGUGCCGUU
Molecule: non-coding RNA, 112 nt
Organism: Caerostris darwini
Lineage: Eukaryota; Metazoa; Arthropoda; Arachnida; Araneae; Araneidae
Source: the annotation of a GenBank genome assembly